CUCUCAUAAAGACGCGAACUACUCGAUUCUCACAGCUCUAUCAAAUCCCGGUGAAUUCGGAUUCGAUACUCUUCGGAAUCUUCUGUAGCUAGAAUCUUUGUUGAUCAAGGGAGCUUUGCAAAGAGUUUGUCUCAUAAUGAUGCCUGUAAUUGAGCUGGAGCAUGGAUGGUCCUUAAUGGAAACUGGUGUUUCAAAGGUAAAAAGGAUUCUCGAAGGAUGUCCUGAGAACUUUUCGGGGGAAGAAUACAUCGGUAUAUACACGACUAUCUACGAUAUGUGCAUCCAGAAGGUUCCUAACGAGUUCUCUCAGCAGCUUUAUGAUAAAUAUGCUGAUGUUAUUAACGUUUAUAAUACGG
This is a non-coding RNA of Camelina sativa (false flax), 356 nucleotides long. Lineage: Eukaryota; Viridiplantae; Streptophyta; Magnoliopsida; Brassicales; Brassicaceae. The record is from RefSeq and is a predicted model, not a curated record.